RNAcentral lists this ribosomal RNA (579 nucleotides) under uncultured bacterium. Its description in RNAcentral is "bacterial SSU rRNA". It matches the Rfam family "Bacterial small subunit ribosomal RNA", at positions 102 to 694 of the family's 1533-position model. The record is from RNAcentral.
ACGGGUGAGUAACACGUGAGUAACCUGCCCUUAACUCUGGGAUAAGCCUGGGAAACUGGGUCUAAUACCGGAUAUGACUCCUCAUCGCAUGGUGGGGGGUGGAAAGCUUUUUGUGGUUUUGGAUGGACUCGCGGCCUAUCAGCUUGUUGGUGAGGUAAUGGCUUACCAAGGCGACGACGGGUAGCCGGCCUGAGAGGGUGACCGGCCACACUGGGACUGAGACACGGCCCAGACUCCUACGGGAGGCAGCAGUGGGGAAUAUUGCACAAUGGGCGCAAGCCUGAUGCAGCGACGCCGCGUGAGGGAUGACGGCCUUCGGGUUGUAAACCUCUUUCAGUAGGGAAGAAGCGAAAGUGACGGUACCUGCAGAAGAAGCGCCGGCUAACUACGUGCCAGCAGCCGCGGUAAUACGUAGGGCGCAAGCGUUAUCCGGAAUUAUUGGGCGUAAAGAGCUCGUAGGCGGUUUGUCGCGUCUGCCGUGAAAGUCCGGGGCUCAACUCCGGAUCUGCGGUGGGUACGAGCAGACUAGAGUGAUGUAGGGGAGACUGGAAUUCCUGGUGUAGCGGUGAAAUGCGCAGA